RNAcentral lists this ribosomal RNA (495 nucleotides) under uncultured bacterium. RNAcentral's name for it is "partial 16S ribosomal RNA". It matches the Rfam family "Bacterial small subunit ribosomal RNA", at positions 28 to 523 of the family's 1533-position model. The record is from RNAcentral.
GAUGAACGCUGGCGGCGUGCUUAACACAUGCAAGUCGAGCGAAGCAUUUUAAAGGAAGUUUUCGGAUGGAAUUUAAAAUGACUGAGCGGCGGACGGAUGAGUAACGCGUGGGUAACCUGCCUCAUACAGGGGGAUAACAGUUAGAAAUGACUGCUAAUACCGCAUAAGCGCACAGUGCUGCAUAGCACAGUGUGAAAAACUCCGGUGGUAUGAGAUGGACCCGCGUCUGAUUAGGUAGUUGGUGAGGUAACGGCCCACCAAGCCGACGAUCAGUAGCCGACCUGAGAGGGUGACCGGCCACAUUGGGACUGAGACACGGCCCAAACUCCUACGGGAGGCAGCAGUGGGGAAUACUGGACAAUGGGGGAAACCCUGAUCCAGCGACGCCGCGUGAGUGAAGAAGUGUUUCGGCAUGUAAAGCUCUAUCAGCAGGGAAGAAAAUGACGGUACCUGACUAAGAAGCCCCGGCUAACUACGUGCCAGCAGCCGCAGUAA